CCUUACCAGGUCUUGACAUCCCGAUGCUAUUUCUAGAGAUAGAAGUUACUUCGGUACAUCGGUGACAGGUGGUGCAUGGUUGUCGUCAGCUCGUGUCGUGAGAUGUUGGGUUAAGUCCCGCAACGAGCGCAACCCCUAUCGUUAGUUGCCAUCAUUCAGUUGGGCACUCUAGCGAGACUGCCGGUAAUAAACCGGAGGAAGUGGGGAUGACGUCAAAUCAUCAUGCCCCUUAUGACCUGGGCUACACACGUGCUACAAUGGUUGGUACAACGAGUUGCGAGUCGGUGACGGCGAGCUAAUCUCUUAAAGCCAAUCUCAGUUCGGAUUGUAGGCUGCAACUCGCCUACAUGAAGUCGGAAUCGCUAGUAAUCGCGGAUCAGCACGCCGCGGUGAAUACGUUCCCGGGCCUU
Molecule: ribosomal RNA, 410 nt
Filed under: uncultured Streptococcus sp.
Lineage: Bacteria; Bacillati; Bacillota; Bacilli; Lactobacillales; Streptococcaceae
Description: bacterial SSU rRNA
Rfam family: Bacterial small subunit ribosomal RNA
Source: RNAcentral